Pundamilia nyererei is the source of this 439-nucleotide long non-coding RNA. RefSeq lists it as uncharacterized. Lineage: Eukaryota; Metazoa; Chordata; Actinopteri; Cichliformes; Cichlidae. The record is from RefSeq and is a predicted model, not a curated record. The transcript has 2 exons.
GCGUAACCAUGGUUACAGGGGGACGCUUUGGAGCUCUCCUGCUCAACAGCAAAAGAUUUCAGGGCCUCCUCCUGCUUCACUGGCAUAUAUCCAUCACCAGAGGGAUCCACUGACCUGCCUGCUGACAUCAGACCACACCCCUGUGUCAUGUGACCUGGCUGGAGUAGCAAAGCUGGACUCAGACCUGGCUCAGGCAAGUUCAAAGGCAGUUGUGGUAGAGAGAGCAGGGAGUAUAGUAAAGCACUGGAAGGAUGAGGUGGAAACAGGAAGCGUGUGGAUUCAGUGGACUUGGCAUCCUCCAUGACCCUAUCCUGACUUAGCUGCUCCUCUUCCACACUUCUGAAUCCAAGCUGGGAGGCUCCAGGCUGUCAGCCUGCUGCUUCAUAAUCAGAGCAAACCUGAAUAAACACCUCUGCUGCUUCCAAACAGCCUCUGAAAA